UGAGGAAUAUUGCACAAUGGGCGAAAGCCUGAUGCAGCAACGCCGCGUGCGGGACGAAGGCCUUCGGGUCGUAAACCGCUUUUCUGAGGGACGAGCAAGGAAGGUACCUCAGGAAUAAGUCUCGGCUAACUACGUGCCAGCAGCCGCGGUAAAACGUAGGAGGCGAGCGUUAUCCGGAUUUACUGGGCGUAAAGCGCACGCAGGUGGCCGUGUAAGUCGGACAUGAAAGCUCCUGGCUUAACUGGGAGAGGUGGUUCGAAACUGCAUGGCUUGAGGUUGGGAGAGGGACGUGGAAUUCCCGGUGUAGUGGUGGAAUGCGUAGAUAUCGGGAGGAACACCAGUGGCGCAAGCGGCGUCCUGGCCCACACCUGACGCUGAGGUGCGAAAGCGUGGGGAGCAAACAGG
This 405-nucleotide ribosomal RNA is filed under the name bacterium. RNAcentral describes it as "partial 16S ribosomal RNA". It matches the Rfam family "Bacterial small subunit ribosomal RNA", at positions 355 to 776 of the family's 1533-position model. The record is from RNAcentral.